Long non-coding RNA from Haliotis rubra (blacklip abalone), 291 nucleotides. RefSeq lists it as uncharacterized. The record is from RefSeq and is a predicted model, not a curated record. Lineage: Eukaryota; Metazoa; Mollusca; Gastropoda; Lepetellida; Haliotidae. The transcript is spliced from 3 exons.
ACAUAUUUAAAGUCGUGGUUGAGACCAGGAGCAUCACUUCCAUGCUUGCUGUAGAUCUUUUUGCGACAUCUCAUCAACGAACAUGAAGCUGUUUCUCCUGAUGGUUCUUGCCACUCUGUUGACUGCAGAAUGUGUUGUUGCAGAAAGGCAAAAAAUCAAGUUGGCCCCAACCAUCUAUGCAAGAGCACGGUUCACAAGAUCCAUACCAGAUCGUCGUGGUUGGUCUGGUUUCGUAGGCAGUCUGAAAAGGCAGAAGUGUAUCACGUUCUGGCACGGAAUGGUGAGAUGGAA